This is a non-coding RNA of Lentinula edodes (shiitake mushroom), 102 nucleotides long. The record is from Rfam. NCBI's taxonomy places the organism in Eukaryota, Fungi, Basidiomycota, Agaricomycetes, Agaricales, Omphalotaceae.
GCCUCAAUAGCUUAGUGGUAGAGCACUUGAUACAAAUGCUUCUUGUCAGCUGUCGACAUCAUAUAUUAUCAAUAGGCCAGGGUUUGAAUCCCUGUUGAGGCU